UAUAGUUGUUAAAGUAGGAUCUUGUCCAUGUUGUUCAAGUGAUUGCCCCAAAAUAAACAGCUGUUGAAAAUGUCAACUUUGUAAUAAAAGAUAUGCACAUUAUCAAAAUAUCCCAAGGGACAAACCAUUUAGCCCCAUAAUAACUCAUAAUAGCCCAACAGCAUGGGACAUCAAUUUACUAGGGAAAAAGAGAGAAGGGAAUGGAGGAAAAUAAGAAAUCACAUAAAUAUAUCUCAAUGUCUAAAUAAAUCAUUUCCCACUUCAUAUUUAAAAGCUUCAUUGAAUUAUCCAUAAGAAAAGAAGAAAGUACUUUCUUUUAAAAAAAUACAAAAGAAAUUCAGAAUUUGACUUUGACCAUCUAUUUCUUCUGAGCCGCAAUAUCAACAUAAAUUAAAAUUUGUAUUUUAUAUAUAGAUAAUUGGAGGGGAAAUAGUCUCAAAAUUUCCUAAUCAGGGUUUGUGCUCAUUAAGCCCUGCUUGCUAAUUGUUUAGAGAAAAAGAGAAGAAAAUUUAGGUCUGUGGGAAUGAAGAACAUUCCAUGAUGUGGCAUUGCAUGACGAGCUUAACUAAUAGUAUUUUCAACUAAGUAAAACAAAGACUUGUAGUUAGUAUUUGUGUACCUAAUUCAUAGAUUUCAAUUAUAUUCCAAAAAUAAUCCAUUCAUUGUAAAUCAGUUUCAGUAAAUAAAAAAUGGUUUUAUUUUCUUCAGGUUGAACAACUGAAUGUCAAAUCAAGAGUUAAUGAUAAUAAGUAGAAGAUCAGGAUCAGACCCACAAAUCUGAAACUAGUAGAAGCAUACUCUCUACUAAUAUUAAAUUAGCUGGUGGAGAAAUCAGUGUCGUUUCUUCAAGCAAUUUGAUUACAUUCUGUGUGAAAGAAGAUAGAUGACAGAGAGGCAGACCUACAUUUUCAGCUCUCAAAUUCUAUUACCAAAGAAAUGUCUAAAUUUAUCCUGUUUUCUAUCACUACUCUUCUGCCAAGCAAUAAUCCUGUUUUAUAUCACAUGUAGACCCUGCUUAACUAUGGUAAUUGGGAUCAGAAUGUGUAUUGCUCAGUGAUGCAGUAACGUGAAUUACCAUGGGACAUUAAAUGAGAACUCCACAUAAUUGUGACUUCUGACUUCUUGUACGUUUUCCUAUCGAUUUUACUUAUGGGAAGCCUGUAUAGAAGGUAACAAAUUACAGAACCCUGCAAAGUUCAGAAAUCUGGACUGGUUUCUGAAAACUCAAAUCCCAAUCACAUGACUGUAAAAUCACUGUGGUAGCUGCACCUUUGAUGAAGCCAUAAAUACCAUUUAUUUAGUGCACUCCAAGUGUGAAUGGUUGCUGAACAAGUUGUUGUUAACUAAGGAACCACCUAUAGAGAUUUACAAUGCUACUUGAAUGCUCAAGAGGACAAAGAGGUUUAUAGUGCUAGCAAGAUGCAAUGAAAAGCAGCUUCUACAAAAAAGUAUUUCUAGACAAGGAAGUAAUCAUGGGAAAUAUGCAUAAAUAUAUAAAUGUUUCUGAAGAGGUAACACAGAUAGCUUUCAAAAUUAAAUUUUGUUUAUGCAUUUACCUGACUUUAUAU
Molecule: non-coding RNA, 1568 nt
Organism: Thamnophis sirtalis
Lineage: Eukaryota; Metazoa; Chordata; Lepidosauria; Squamata; Natricidae
Source: RefSeq, a predicted model, not a curated record